Arachis duranensis is the source of this 2676-nucleotide long non-coding RNA. RefSeq lists it as uncharacterized. NCBI's taxonomy places the organism in Eukaryota, Viridiplantae, Streptophyta, Magnoliopsida, Fabales, Fabaceae. The record is from RefSeq and is a predicted model, not a curated record. The transcript has 3 exons.
ACCCCUUCCCCCUUUCUGAAACACCAACAUCCACACGCACAGAGAUGGAGAAGAGAGAAAGAGAGGGCGCCAGCGGAGGAGAAAAGGGGAGGGAGCCGCGCCACCACCAUCCAGCCCGUCGCGCCGCUGUCACGGUGCCGUCGUGGUCGCCGACGAAGAAAGAUGGCUCGCGAGUGAGAGGGGCGCGGGCUUGGAGCCACCGUCGCGGAGAAGAGGCGUCAGAAAGAGGGAGCUCGCGGUGAAGAGAGAGAGGCACACGAAGAAGAGAGGCCUGCGACUAGCCUUGUCACCAUCAGCGCCGCAGGUUGCUGUCGUCAACCUCGCGAGCUGCCACCGUGUCACUGUUACUGUGCUGCAGCGCCACCGUUCAACCUCAUCCCACGAUGUCUCCAUGGUCGUUUCUAUCACGUAAGGGAGCGAGAGAGGAGAGGUGGUGAACGAAGCCAUCGCAGGAACCGCCGUCAGAAAGGGUUCAGGUCACCAUUGAUGGGGAUAGCCAGAACUGUUCCGAAGAUUUUGCCGUUGAUUCUAAUUCUGUUUUGUUUCGAUUGAAGUCGUUGCUGCCUUAGUCAUCGGUGAGUCGUGUACUGCAACCAGAGUCGAAUACAGCACCAGCCUUGUUCUGAUUUCGAUUCUCCUAUUCUUAAAACUGCAUAAUUGAUGUUGAGGUCGUUGUUGUUCUUGCUCCGAAAGAACUGAUGUCACCGUUGCUGCCAUUGGUUCUGAAUCCCAUUACAUUGAUUCUGAGCUAUGUUUGCUUUUGAUUCUUAUCCACUUCGAAUCCUUGUCUUGUUGCAACCAUCAUCACUGUCAUAAGAGAUUGACAAUGCUGCUGUUUUGGUUGCAUGCUUGCUGCUUCCAUAAAAUUAAAAAGAGAAGGGAGUUACCAUGUUUAAUCUAUGUGAAUUCAGCUAAUCGAGGUAGGGGUUUUUCUUAAAAUCUAUUUUACAUUACAGAGUUGUUAUGAAUAGAUAUUGAUGUAAAAAAAUAUACUUAUGUGAUUAUAUUUGUCUUGUGGAUGUGAUGGUUUGUUAGACUGAAUUAUUGGUUGCUUGGUUGCGUGAAUGGCGUAUGGUUGUUGAUAAGAAAUCAGUUUGAAAUAUUAUUUACUUGAUUAUUAUGAAAAGUGAAUUUUCUUGGUUUUAGAGUUUCCUUGGUAAUAAAAAUGAACUGAUUUUGGAAAUAAUUUGAGAUAUGAAAAUAAAUUUAUUCUGGGAGCGGUUUGAUUUUGAGUUGGUCUGAUUUUAUAAAUGAUUUAAUAUUUGAGCUGGUUUGAUUUUAAAAAGAGUUUAUUUAUUGGAAUAGGUUUGAUUUGAAAAUAUUUUGAUAUUGAAACUGGUUCAAUUUUGGAAAAUGUUUGAGAUUUGGAAAUGGAUGAGAAAUGUUUGGAUGGGACCCGAAAAGGGUGGCAGUGUCUGAGUUUUAGAGGAGAUGCUGCCGAAUUUUUAUAAAAUUGGAAGUUUCGCCUGAAGUAAUUAUUUUAAAAGAUUUAGUUUUUGAACGUUAUAUGUUUUAAGAUUGAUUUAUUUAGAAGGGAAAGAAUUAAGUUUUGGACUGAGAUUGUUGAUUAAUGGAACAGAAAGAAGGAUGAUAAGGAUUGACUUUGAAAUAUGAUUUUUUAAUGAAUUUGGAAAUGAGAUAUGGAUUGACGAAUGGUAAUGAUAUUGAGAAUGGAUUAGAUAUUGAUGAAUGAUUAUGUAUGAAACUUGGCUUGAAUGAUUUAAUGAUUUGAGAUACGAGGUUCCCUAGAUGAAGUACCAUGGCUUGCCACUACGUGUACCAGGUUGAAAACUCGAUACUCUGUUGACCCUAUGACGUAAGUGUGACCGGGCACUAUAUAAAUUCCCAGGAAUGUUACCCCCAUUGAGCAAUAUUGAUUAUUUGAGAAAAAGCUAUGCAUAGACUCUUGGGGAUGCAUGUCGGGGGACAGUCUAAGGACAAUUCAGACUUGUCGGGUUGGCUGGAUAACCGACAGAUAAGCCUCAUCAGCCAUAGGACAGGCAUGCAUCAUAUGCAUUUGUAUGCUUUGUUUGGGUUUGAACUUGUUUUGGUUUGCCUAAUUGCUAAACUGUUCUUAACUGCUACUUGAACUAUUUGCUGUAACUGCUACCUAAACCUGUACUUUCCUUGUUUGUCUUGCCUGUGUUUGUCCUGGCGUGCUCAUUUGAGAAUGAACUUUGAUGCUGGAUUAAUGAUCGUGUUGUUUGAUUGCGUGGUUGGUUUUUGAUUGAGAUUUUCUUAUAAGAAAGGAAAUGUUUUGGAUUUCUGAAAGAUUAAACAUUGUUUCUUUGAAAAGGUUUUGAACGGUUACCUAUUGGUUUUUAAAAGAUUCAUAAGGCAAUGAUAAUCACUGAGCUUGAAAAUAGUUUUCUUAUUAAAUAUCUUAUUAUGACAAUUUUGAAACUUUGUGGUGAGACCGUGUGGUUAGGUUCUCACCCCCUACAGCUUUAUCUUUUUAGGAAUUGGAUGGAAGAGCAUUACGAAGGGCUAUACUGCGUUUUAAUUUUAUAUGUUGUAUUGAUUAGAUUAUUUUCUUCCUUCAUCUUUGUUAUUACAAUUUUUUGUAAGAAGGAUAGGAGUUGUGUGUUUUAUACGUAUAUUAUAUUAUUAGUUGUUAUGUAAACAGUCUUGUAUAUGGAUCUAUGCCUGUUUGUUUUUUUUAGAUAAAGUACUAAU